This 467-nucleotide ribosomal RNA is filed under the name uncultured bacterium. Its description in RNAcentral is "partial 16S ribosomal RNA". It matches the Rfam family "Bacterial small subunit ribosomal RNA", at positions 28 to 507 of the family's 1533-position model. The record is from RNAcentral.
GACGAACGCUGGCGGCGCGCCUAACACAUGCAAGUCGAACGGAGUCAAGAGGAGCUUGCUUUUCUUGACUUAGUGGCGAACGGGUGAGUAACGCGUGAGUAACCUGCCCUGGAGUGGGGGACAACAGUUGGAAACGACUGCUAAUACCGCAUAAGCCCACGGAUCUGCAUGGAUCUGCGGGAAAAGGAUUUAUUCGCUCUAGGAUGGACUCGCGUCCAAUUAGCUAGUUGGUGAGGUAACGGCCCACCAAGGCGACGAUUGGUAGCCGGACUGAGAGGUUGAACGGCCACAUUGGGACUGAGACACGGCCCAGACUCCUACGGGAGGCAGCAGUGGGGGAUAUUGCACAAUGGGGGAAACCCUGAUGCAGCGACGCCGCGUGGAGGAAGAAGGUUUCGGAUUGUAAACUCCUGUCGUUAGGGACGAUAAUGACGGUACCUAACAAGAAAGCACCGGCUAACUACGUG